GAUUACCUGGUAAAUUAUGGCAAUGGUGAAUCCCCCUAUGCGGUGGGGCGUUCCAGUCAACUGCUGUCUGCAGGUAUGCGCGCGGCUUUACUGACCAGGGGUAAAGUCACCGGGAGGCACCCGGCACCAUGACAAUAACUACAACCAGUUUGAAAUUCCUUGAGAGCCUGCCGUAAAACGCAGGCCUUUUU
Molecule: small RNA, 191 nt
Filed under: Enterobacter cloacae
Lineage: Bacteria; Pseudomonadati; Pseudomonadota; Gammaproteobacteria; Enterobacterales; Enterobacteriaceae
Description: Gammaproteobacterial sRNA STnc100
Rfam family: Gammaproteobacterial sRNA STnc100 (bases 12-139)
Source: RNAcentral